This 253-nucleotide ribosomal RNA is filed under the name uncultured bacterium. RNAcentral describes it as "partial 16S ribosomal RNA". It matches the Rfam family "Bacterial small subunit ribosomal RNA", at positions 524 to 776 of the family's 1533-position model. The record is from RNAcentral.
UACGAAGGGGGCUAGCGUUGUUCGGAAUCACUGGGCGUAAAGCGCACGUAGGCGGCAUUGCAGGUCGGAUGUGAAAUCCCUCGGCUCAACCAAGGAAGUGCAUCCGAAACUGCUGUGCUUGAGUACUUAAGAGGAUCGCGGAAUUCCCGGUGUAGAGGUGAAAUUCGUAGAUAUCGGGAGGAACACCAGUGGCGAAGGCGGCGAUCUGGGAAGAUACUGACGCUGAGGUGCGAAAGCGUGGGGAGCAAACAGG